Molecule: non-coding RNA, 22 nt
Filed under: Arabidopsis thaliana (thale cress)
Lineage: Eukaryota; Viridiplantae; Streptophyta; Magnoliopsida; Brassicales; Brassicaceae
Source: RNAcentral
CAAUAAGUCCUAUAAUCUAGAG